This 29-nucleotide non-coding RNA is filed under the name Rattus norvegicus (Norway rat). Lineage: Eukaryota; Metazoa; Chordata; Mammalia; Rodentia; Muridae. The record is from RNAcentral.
UUUACUAUUUAUUCGAGGCUACUAUGUGC